Long non-coding RNA from Gymnogyps californianus (California condor), 142 nucleotides. RefSeq lists it as uncharacterized. The transcript has 3 exons. NCBI's taxonomy places the organism in Eukaryota, Metazoa, Chordata, Aves, Accipitriformes, Cathartidae. The record is from RefSeq and is a predicted model, not a curated record.
UUGAGGUGGUGCCGAGGAGGGGGCACCGCGGGGAGUCAGUCGCCGCUGCCCUGCAAAGGACACCUGCAACUACGUGUAUUCCAAAUGCCCAAGUUGCACUCCUAAGGAAACUUUUGUCAGGCUGUCAAGAUGAUAACAAAAC